This 300-nucleotide ribosomal RNA is filed under the name uncultured Halobacillus sp. RNAcentral describes it as "bacterial SSU rRNA". It matches the Rfam family "Bacterial small subunit ribosomal RNA", at positions 496 to 795 of the family's 1533-position model. Lineage: Bacteria; Bacillati; Bacillota; Bacilli; Caryophanales; Bacillaceae. The record is from RNAcentral.
GCAAGCUUCGGGCCGGCAGGUGCGGUAAUAUGCAGGGGGCAAGUGUUAAUCGGGAUUAGUGGGCGUAAAGCGUGCGUUGGUGGUUGGUUAAGUCGGAUGGGAAAGCCCGGGGCUGAACCUGGGAAUUGCAGUGGAUACUGGGAGGCUAGAGUGCGGUAGAGGGUAGUGGAAUUCCCGGUGUAGCAGUGAAAUGCGUAGAGAUCGGGAGGAACAUCCGUGGCGAAGGCGACUACCUGGACCAGCACUGACACUGAGGCACGAAAGCGUGGGGAGCAAACAGGAUUAGAUACCCCUGUAGUC